Molecule: ribosomal RNA, 120 nt
Filed under: Secale strictum subsp. anatolicum
Lineage: Eukaryota; Viridiplantae; Streptophyta; Magnoliopsida; Poales; Poaceae
Source: RNAcentral
GGAUGCGAUCAUACCAGCACUAAAGCACCGGAUCCCAUCAGAACUCCGAAGUUAAGCGUGCUUGGGCGAGAGUAGUACUAGGAUGUGUGACCUCUUGGGAAGUCCUCGUGUUGCAUUCCC